This is a non-coding RNA of Saimiri boliviensis boliviensis (Bolivian squirrel monkey), 2607 nucleotides long. The record is from RefSeq and is a predicted model, not a curated record. NCBI's taxonomy places the organism in Eukaryota, Metazoa, Chordata, Mammalia, Primates, Cebidae.
UAAAGGCCCGCGGCGAUGAAGCAGUUGUAGCUGACUUGCUCGUAAAGGUUGUAUAUGUUCUGGGGGCCAUUCCUGGGGGAGUCAGACAUUGAGAGCAGUUAACACCUGCCGAGCGCUCUGUGCCCGGCGGCGGUCUAGGCGCUGUCACGUGGAUGACUUUAUUCCGUCUCCCUGACCAUCCCAUGGGGUUGAGAUCUGUCAUAGCUGCCGUUUUGCAGAGGUGGACUGAGACGGACGGAAAAGUACGAUACCUAAAGACGCCACACCUAGAGUGGUGGGUUUGGGAUGGCCGCCGCGGUCUGACGCCCUGGCUCCUAACCACGUUCUCAAGAAAGCAGCUGUCCUCUCCCAGUUGUCUCCCCUAGGGGCCCAGAUCGUCCGGCCUCGCCUCCUCCCACCCGACUACUUACUCAAAAUCUUUCUCCGUGAAGGGAACGUCCUCAAUCAACACAGCGGAAUGGACAUUGAAAAAUAUUCCGAGCAUGAUCUGGAAAAGGGGGAGUGGGUAGGUUGUCGAAUUCAGGCACCUGCCCUCACGUUCGUUUCGUAAACCCCUCCCAUUUCUCAUGUUGCUACAACAGCCGAGCCUGAGACGAACCAAAACGAGGUGGUGGUUCCUGGAUUCGGACUCAGCCACCCGGAACAGGGCGUGAGGUGGUGACACGGAGACAAGGGUAGGAAUAGGGUGACCAAGCCAUCUCUCCCAGGAACCCAGCGGAUCGUCCUCCCUGGAGGCGCCAUCAUCACGGGACAGUGCGGAAGAGGGGAGGGAGGGCCGGCACUUCUACGAAUUCAUUUCUUCGUGAAGUGGCGGUGGGUGGAUUACUGGGGAAACAAGGCCCAACUACCCAUUUCUAAAACGAGCGCUCUCUUCCCCCCCCGCCCCGUCCUCCAUUCAACUCAAGCACCUCUCAGGAACCCCGCUCUUGUUUCUCCUGUCUUGAGGGGUCUCCACAUUUACCAGCCCCAGCCCCUCCCACUCCAGGGCCCUUGGCUCCAGUUCCCAUUUUCCGAUCUCUGUCUCUUCCUCCGGGGCCAGUUGAUCCCGGCUCCUUCGGCCUGCCUGCGGCCCAGAAGGUCCUAGCUCCCAGCCCGGAGCCCCUCAGGCCCUCUCGGAUCCUUGCCGGGGAGCCCCCUCACCAACAUGAUAACUCCCCAGGCGCUGAGGACGAUGCCGCAGGCGGCCAGCUUCGGCCCGCAGCACAGGAGCGACGCCAUGAAGAAGGGAGUCGGAGCUCGCCAAGGUGCAGGCGGUCUGGAACAGCGGUGGGAGAAAGCCCAGGAUGCGUUCGGCGGGCUGCAGAGGGGGCGUGGCCCCGGCCUCAACCAUCCCGCCCGGGGGUGGCAGUCGGACAAGGCUGGGCUCCUCUAGGGACUUUCAUGGGAGAUGGCGCCGGCUGAAACCGACACAGCUUCUGUGAAAACCCUUCUUGACCUCUGUAGCUGGGGCGUGAGUACUGGAAGAGCGAGGGCUCUUGGUCCCCGGUUUCUUGGUCCCCCUCCACCUGCGACCGGGAAUGGAAGGAGCUGGCGUGUCACGUGACCAAGUCUGGCAAGUCACGUGACGAGGAACUAGCACUAACCAGGCCUUGGGGGAAAAAUGCUAACUGGUGGAGCUCCUGGUAACUGGGGCGAUGGGGUCUUAGGAUCGGAGGAUUGGAACCGUCUGAUUUUUACGUCUGAUACUUUAGUCUCGGGUUCUCUCCUGUGUUGGGAAAAUGAGUCCCCUCUCACCAUGUCUGGCUGGCGGCGACCCAGAUGCCAUGUGAUGGUCAUUUGAAGACAGGCCUGCCGGACAUCAGGGAUUCUUUCUGUUGCAAGUCAUGAAAAGUCAACUAAAAAUGGCUUAUGAUAAAGAAAAGGAAGAUGUUGAUUGAUAAAAAUGGAAAAUCCAUGGUCACAGGCCUUCAGGACAUUGACAUUUUGGAGAGCCUAGGCUAGCUGUUUUGUACAACGUCUUUCAAAAUGGAUUUGCCUGAUCGUUUCCUCAUGAUUAGAUUCAGCUUAAACGUUUUUGGGCAAGACUACGCCAUAGGUGAUGUGUGGCCAGUCACUUCAGUGCUACUCUGAGACAAUUGCUGGCCAGCCGCCUGUGCGCCCUACCAUCCCAUCCCCACCUCCCAUCAUUUCCGUGGCCUGAAGUCUUCAGGAGGACAGCAAGUCUCUGGAUACUCUUAAAUAUUACUUGUCGGAAACAGAUGCUGGUGCCGCAAAGAAAAAUCAGCACUCAGACAAAGGAUCUCUCGGCAAAGCAAUUUUACUUCCCUCAGAAAGCGUGCUCCUGUUAGCCAUCUUGCCAUGAGAGUAAAAUGCACAAAGGAAAAGCAGACGUAUUUAUUCCUUACACAUCUGGAGUGGUCCUUCCUGCUGUGUCUGAUCUCUGCUGAGUGGAGCCAGGCCUCACUAUCUAAACUGAAACCUGAUGGGCUAACAACUUAAAACUUUUCUAAACAGGACAGGAAACUUUGAAGAGGAACUUUUCUUCUUCCCACAUUACUUGUGAGCUUUAAGUCACUCAAUGAUUUCGCUUAUGAUGGUGGUUAUCUUUAAACAUGUCAUGAUUUUUUUUCUUUAACCAUUUUUAGUGUGGACUACAUAAAACAUACA